GUUGUAUUUUACACUGCUAGAGUCUGUAUAGCCUGUGAAACUGGCGGUCUCUGUUUUGUUGGUUUUCCCGUGUUUUCUUUAUUUAAGAAAUUAAUAUGAUGAGCACGCAACCUGCUGCGCCUAGGUCCUCUCUCUCUCUCUCUCCUACGACAACUGUGACAGACCUAUAAACAGUCAGUUUUUUUACACUCAGCCUAAGAGCACUACAGAUAAAAUCAUUUUUUGGAAAGUGUACUACAUUGAUAACUUAAGUAGUUCCUUGUGUCCUCUAAUCACCUUCAUCUCAAAAUGUACAAAAGUCUGAAGGGGGACAAGCUCUUGAGCGCUGGCCAUCUAGAUCUGACGUCAAUCACAAGGGGCUCAUCUUCCACAAUCUCCUUUCUUCUUAAUGAGAAGGAGAUACUCAUCUUUAGCCAAGCUACUCACUCCUGCUUGGAAGCUGUUGAAUGCAGUAGAGGAGCUGCCAGAGCAUGGUCUUGAUCAGACCACUUCCUGAAAUUACCACUGAGUUCUAAAAUAAAUUGUGCUAGCACGACAAGGCUAAAGUAAAGAAAAAUAUGUUUGAUUGUAAACAUUAUACACUUUUGUUUAAUAAUUGAUUGAUUACUAGAAUUACAAGGAGCAAGUGCUAAAC
RNAcentral lists this long non-coding RNA (634 nucleotides) under Salmo salar (Atlantic salmon). Its description in RNAcentral is "lncRNA (ENSSSAG00000121019.1)". The record is from RNAcentral. Lineage: Eukaryota; Metazoa; Chordata; Actinopteri; Salmoniformes; Salmonidae.